Bos taurus (domestic cattle) is the source of this 1246-nucleotide long non-coding RNA. The record is from Ensembl. NCBI's taxonomy places the organism in Eukaryota, Metazoa, Chordata, Mammalia, Artiodactyla, Bovidae.
UACUUGCCUCUCCCACUCUAUAGCUGAUGAAUUUGGGCAAAUGUUCUGAGUUUUAAAAACGAUCCUAUCGUGGCUGCAAAGCAUCUGGUACCAUGCAUGUUUCCUUGGAGAUGCUCAACGCCUAGUGGCUGUGACAGGUGUUAAUGUUUUGCAGUUUCCACGGUGCUUUCAUUUGUCUUUUCUCAUUGGAUCUUCAAUGAGGUGGGAGGGCAAGUUUGAUGUCUCUAUUUAAAAACAGAUAAAACUGACACUCAGCACAGCCUAGUCCCCCGGGAUGGACCCCCUUGGGGGCGGAGUGUUUCUGGUCCCUGGGUGACGCUGUACCACAGAUAGAGCCCUUGGGAAGGGAACUUACUUGAAAGAGCAACCAUUCCUGCCUUAGUUUUACUUCCAGUCCUACCCGUCCAACAGAAGGACCACGUGGUCAAGAACAGACCGUGAUUACAGACCUGCAUCCAGAGAGGGUGUUUUCACGUUCCAGUCGGACCUGGAGAGAUAAGUGAUGGCAGGACAGAGCAGAUCCAGGAAAUAAUGUUUCUCUAUCCAUUGCCUCAAAGGAAAUUGGAAAACAAGCGUGUCAAUGCCCGGCUGAUGAAGUGUAUGUGGAAAAAAAGAGAACACGCAAAGUAGAGGGAUCCAGCGUGCGUUCUUUGGUUCGACAACUCGACUUUCCACAAGGUCUUUUCAAAACGAGCUUCCAGGGACAGUGCCAAGGACUUAAGAGCUGGCGGCGUCGGCCUGAACCCCGCAACUAGGCAGGUUCCCAGGAGGCUUGAAUGAGGGGGUCACAGCGCGGAUCUCCCUCUCCCCCACGCAGUCUUUGUGAGUUAUUGCCAGCGAGGGGCACAAAAGGACCGCAGGACCCAAAAUGCCGGAGUGGGAGGGGAGAUGUAGCGACUGCGACUGGCCGCCGCGGUUUUUUGAGCCCCUCAGGCUGAAACUCGCCCUGUGGGACCGGGAAACCCACGCCUUCACCCUCCCGGGCCCAGGGACACCACGCCUCAACGCGCUCGCCUGCAGAGGUGUGCAAGGAGAACUGACCCCCUGGGGCUGCCGUCGUCUGCGAAACACAAAGGCCGGAAGUACAUCGGCGUCAGCCUGGCCUGGCGCCCUCUCUAGGACCCUGGAUGCCCCACAGCUCAGUGGUUCUCCAGACCCGAAGCUGGUGGGUGGAGGGAUCUGACCUGGGGAUACCCAGGGCGUGUGUGUGCCCUCCUGCAGGGGCGGCAAAGGGCUCGCAGGAACA